RNAcentral lists this ribosomal RNA (499 nucleotides) under uncultured bacterium. RNAcentral's name for it is "partial 16S ribosomal RNA". It matches the Rfam family "Bacterial small subunit ribosomal RNA", at positions 28 to 507 of the family's 1533-position model. The record is from RNAcentral.
GACGAACGCUGGCGGCGUGCCUAAUACAUGCAAGUCGAGCGAAGUUUUUCUGGUGCUUGCACUAGAAAAAAUUAGCGGCGAACGGGUGAGUAACACGUAAAGAACCUGCCUCAUAGACUGGGACAACUAUUGGAAACGAUAGCUAAUACCGGAUAACAGUAUUUCUCGCAUGAGAGAUAUUUAAAAGUUGGUUAUGCUAACACUAUGAGAUGGCUUUGCGGUGCAUUAGCUAGUUGGUGGGGUAAAGGCCCACCAAGGCGACGAUGCAUAGCCGACCUGAGAGGGUGAUCGGCCACACUGGGACUGAGACACGGCCCAGACUCCUACGGGAGGCAGCAGUAGGGAAUCUUCCGCAAUGGGCGAAAGCCUGACGGAGCAACGCCGCGUGAGUGAAGAAGGAUUUCGGUUCGUAAAGCUCUGUUGUUAGGGAAGAAUGGAUAUGUAGUAACUAUACAUGUAAGAGACGGUACCUAACCAGAAAGCCACGGCUAACUACGUG